UACGAAGGGGACUAGCGUUGUUCGGAAUUACUGGGCGUAAAGCGCACGUAGGCGGAUUUGUAAGUCAGGGGUGAAAUCCCGGGGCUCAACCUCGGAACUGCCUUUGAUACUGCAAGUCUCGAGUCCGAUAGAGGUGGGUGGAAUUCCUAGUGUAGAGGUGAAAUUCGUAGAUAUCAGGAGGAACACCGGUGGCGAAGGCGGUUCUCUGGGCUGCACCUGACGCUGAAGUGCGAAAGCCAGGGGAGCGAACGGG
Molecule: ribosomal RNA, 253 nt
Filed under: uncultured bacterium
Lineage: Bacteria
Description: partial 16S ribosomal RNA
Rfam family: Bacterial small subunit ribosomal RNA
Source: RNAcentral